CACUGCCAAUUAUCCUUAAAAGAGUCCCACACGGUUUUGCAUCAAUGGAAUUGUGAUAUACUUUUUUUCAUUAAAAGUUGGAACAAUCGACAAACUGUGAUUACCCCAUCUCUUCUCAGAUGGUUGUUCGCCUCAAUCCCCGAUUGUCGGUGGUUGUGGCCCUGAGCAACAUUUCAAUUUGGGAACUUAAUUUCCUCUCUUUUGUUUAUCUUCCAAAUUCUCUCUAUUCCUUGCUAUUGUGUUCCAAAUUUCCAUUAGCCCCAAAUGAACCUCAAAUCCCUAACGCAUACGGAUCCAGCACUCAAGACUCUAUUUUGCCGUCAAUUUGCCCACUUUCGAUUGAGAAGUCCGACCGAGCAGUUGUGUCUGCUAUCCACCUCAAGAGCGAAUCGUCACUCAUUUAGUUGAAGAUGUGUGGAACUAAGACUUUGUAGGUUAAUUGGUGAUAAUUUUUCAGUUUUAUUUUGGUUAUUUUAAUGUUGUUUGUUUGCGUUUAUUAUUUAGGGUUUUUGAAGGUUUGGAAUAAUUGUUGUUUUGUGGAGCGGAAUUGACGGUGUGGGUUGUCGGCUGUUUCUGGUUUUCAGGCAGCUACGGCGGGUCAUCUCUCACGUAGGCUUGGUUUACUCCACUAGCCACCUUUGACCUCUAUUGUUUGGCCUUAUGUGGAGGAUUUUCUUUUUAGGUUGAAACUCUUUCAUGUUUUUUCAUUUAUGUAAUAUUUUGUAUUUGCUGCUAAAGAACCAUUACUCAUGUUUUGUUAGUGUAAGCGGC
Molecule: long non-coding RNA, 771 nt
Filed under: Malus domestica (apple)
Lineage: Eukaryota; Viridiplantae; Streptophyta; Magnoliopsida; Rosales; Rosaceae
Description: long non-coding RNA (MDOM_LNC009585)
Source: RNAcentral